GACGAACGCUGGCGGCGUGCUUAACACAUGCAAGUCGAACGGAAAGGCCCUGCUUUUGUGGGGUGCUCGAGUGGCGAACGGGUGAGUAACACGUGAGUAACCUGCCCUUGACUUUGGGAUAACUUCAGGAAACUGGGGCUAAUACCGGAUAGGAGCUCCUGCUGCAUGGUGGGGGUUGGAAAGUUUCGGCGGUUGGGGAUGGACUCGCGGCUUAUCAGCUUGUUGGUGGGGUAGUGGCUUACCAAGGCUUUGACGGGUAGCCGGCCUGAGAGGGUGACCGGCCACAUUGGGACUGGGAUACGGCCCAGACUCCUCCGGGAGGCAGCAGUGGGGAAUAUUGCACACUGGGCGGAAGCCUGAUGCAGCAACGCCGCGUGCGGGAUGACGGCCUUCGGGUUGUAAACCGCUUUCGCCUGUGACGAAGCGUGAGUGACGGUAAUGGGUAAAGAAGCACCGGCUAACUACGUG
Molecule: ribosomal RNA, 468 nt
Filed under: uncultured bacterium
Lineage: Bacteria
Description: partial 16S ribosomal RNA
Rfam family: Bacterial small subunit ribosomal RNA
Source: RNAcentral